GACGAACGCUGGCGGCGUGCUUAACACAUGCAAGUCGAACGGAAAGGCCCUGCUUGCCGGGUACUCGAGUGGCGAACGGGUGAGUAACACGUGGGUGAUCUGCCCUGCACUUCGGGAUAAGCCUGGGAAACUGGGUCUAAUACCGGAUAGGAGCCAUUUUUAGUGUGAUGGUUGGAAAGUUUUUUCGGUGUAGGAUGAGCUCGCGGCCUAUCAGCUUGUUGGUGGGGUAAUGGCCUACCAAGGCGGCGACGGGUAGCCGGCCUGAGAGGGUGGACGGCCACCUUGGGACUUAGAUACGGCCCAGACCCCUACGGGAGGCAGCAGUGGGGAAUAUUGCACAAUGGGCGCAAGCCUGAUGCAGCGACGCCGCGUGGGGGAUGACGGCCUUCGGGUUGUAAACUCCUUUCGCUAGGGACGAAGCUUUUUGUGACGGUACCUAGAUAAGAAGCACCGGCUAACUACGUG
This 465-nucleotide ribosomal RNA is filed under the name uncultured bacterium. Its description in RNAcentral is "partial 16S ribosomal RNA". It matches the Rfam family "Bacterial small subunit ribosomal RNA", at positions 28 to 507 of the family's 1533-position model. The record is from RNAcentral.